Molecule: long non-coding RNA, 1667 nt
Organism: Alosa sapidissima (American shad)
Lineage: Eukaryota; Metazoa; Chordata; Actinopteri; Clupeiformes; Clupeidae
Exons: 5
Source: RefSeq, a predicted model, not a curated record
UUAGUCAAUUGUCAGGGUUAUGCAGGCGGACUCAAGUGCAAGACUCCUCCAGGCAGAAUUAAGAAAAACACACUUUAUUUUACGACAAAAACUCACCAACAGACAGGACUACAACAGGGUGAACAGAGAGACAAUCCGACAAGGAACAGAGAAACAGGAGGGUAGAAAUACACAUACCAAAUAACAGAAAGACCGGACUGGAAGAAACCAACGAGACAAUAACAGGGAACAGGUGAGGAAACAGAAACGGAGGGAAAACUAACAAGACAGGAAGCACAGACCAAAUAAGGAGAUGGGGCGGAGACAAAGACAGGUAACAGGCAAGUAGACACAAAGCACAUGACAGAAAACAAUACACAGAAUGGCCACCAGGGUGGCACAAUGUCACCAGUCCAGGCCAGAUCCUGACAUCAAUUGAGUUUGCGAAGAUGGACCCCCAAAAGGUGGCUCAAUUGGUAGAUAUUUUGGAGAAAAACAAAUUUCCUGUUGAAUGCUCCAAAGUGAGACGCGCAACUUUAAAAAGAAGAGCAGGGAGCUAUGUUAUGAAGGAUGGAUAUCUGCAUUAUAUAUGCAGACGCCGGAAAGGCAUUGAGCACCUUGCAAAGGUGGUAACAUGUCCAAAGGAGGCAGAAGAAGUCUAUCAUGACUUCCAUGCAAGUAAUAAGGGGCUCAUGGUGGUAUGGAGAGGACCCACACUGCCAUAAUCAGCCGUUUCUACUGGCCUGGCAUGGAGCGCGACAUCUGGAAAUGGGUUUCUGAGUGCCCAGAGUGCCAGGCCAGGCAGAAUACUCUAAAAGAGAAAAAGGCCUAUAUUCCCCUCGAAGUAAGUUACAUUUAACUUAUACAACGUUGCCCAAACAAUGGAUUUGUCAACUUGGAUUUGUGCACUUGUUCGUAACAAUUGUUUUCUGUUUUUUGAGUUUUGAGUUGGUGGGCAUGGAUUUGGUGGGAAAACUGAAGCCCACUAAAAGUGGCCUCAGGUAUAUGUGUGUAAUGGUGGACAACUUCAAGUGGGCCCAGGUGUACCCACUCACAUCGAAAAGUGUGAGGGAAGUGACUGCCUGCAUUUUGGAUUGGUUUUUAUACCUUUGGAGCACCCAAAAGGCUCCUAACGGAUCGGGGGAGGGAAUUUGUCAAUAAGAUCAACUUUUCACUGUGUGAGAAGCUUGACAUACACAGAAGCUUCUGUUCCCCACACCACCCCAGAUGAAUGGUCUGGUGGAAAGGAUGAAUGGGGCUAUACAGAGUAGUGAUGAGCUCUCACAAAGCUGGUGGGCAACUUGUUAACUAAUUUGAUAUGAGCAUAUGGAAUGGUGCUAAAACUUUUUUUUACCAGAUCUACUUCAUUGGUGUCCUGAUAUAGGCCAACAUAAUUAUCAGCCAAUCAAUCAGAAGCUAAUAUUUAUGGUCUCUGUCGAUAAUCAUUACCUUGUUUAAAACAAAGUUGUGUAACAUUGUUCCAACUUACAAGGUUGCAAAGCUACACAUACUGUAAUGUAUAAGAAAAGACACUGAAUGUUUUGUAUUUGGUAGGCUACUGGUUUACAGUGUUCACCAUGUGCCUUCUGAAUAGUCACUUCUGUAAACGCUGAAUCCUGAGCCUAAUGUUUUUUUUUUUUUUUUUUUUCGUCCUCCAUUUGUGGUGCUAGUGAAUGACCAUGUAUUUA